CAGCAGCCGCGGUAAAACGGAGGGGGCUAGCGUUGUUCGGAAUUACUGGGCGUAAAGCGCACGUAGGCGGCUUUGUAAGUUAGAGGUGAAAGCCCGGAGCUCAACUCCGGAAUUGCCUUUAAGACUGCAGAGCUAGCAGGUGAGAGAGGUGAGUGGAAUUCCGAGUGUAGAGGUGAAAUUCGUAGAUAUUCGGAAGAACACCAGUGGCGAAGGCGGCUCACUGGCUCAUACUGGACGCUGAGGUGCGAAAGCGUGGGGAGCAAACAGGAUUAGAUACCCCCGUAGUCCCUGUCUCUUAUAA
This 301-nucleotide ribosomal RNA is filed under the name uncultured bacterium. RNAcentral describes it as "partial 16S ribosomal RNA". It matches the Rfam family "Bacterial small subunit ribosomal RNA", at positions 509 to 809 of the family's 1533-position model. The record is from RNAcentral.